AAAUAGAACUUUGCAGAGAGAGUUACCAGGGCGUGAAACCGUCAAUUGCCAAACGAAUCGGAGCCACGAAGUCGUUUCGUUAGUCUAGUUAAGUUGAGUUCAGUUUAAGAAUAACAAUUCUUAAAUGUAUUCUCUAAAACUUAACCAGUCAUUGUAAGCGUACACUGCAACUAGUUAGACGAUUGGUUAUGGGCCCAGUUGAUUUGUUAUAAGGCGCAAGUUUUGUACAAGUUAGCGAAGCAUUUGUUUAGUUGAAUUAGUAGUAGCGUGGUUGAGCUUCGGCUUUUCUCGUGUUGCUGGAUUUAUGCUAAGUGAACUAUAACCAAAUACUGACUAGAAAAAUGAAAAUCGCCUCGCUACGAGUGCGUUAUAUAAAAGGCAGUAUUUUAUACAUGAUGCUUACACAAUUGACCAUUAGGUUUAAGCUCGGCAUUUUUGAAUUUAGACUUGCUUGCUACCAGUGGGGCAACUCCUGGUGCUUGUAUAGCUUCUAUCUAAUCGGGUGUCGACUUAAUUUAAUGUUGUUUAGUUGUGCUACGAUAGAGUAUUUGUAUAAGAAUAUUUGCCAUUUUGAAUUGGCAGUGAGUAGGUCGGCUUUCCGAACGACCCGUCUUGAAACACGGACCAAGGAGUCUAAUUAGGCAUCAAGUCGAUCGGUCUUGAAUAGGCCAGACUAAGUUAAACUUGUUUAACUUGAUUGAAGGCGUAGAGAAAUCAAAUCAUGUGAUCUAGCGAACAAAAACAGUUUGCUGGCGCAACAUGUGCCUGGUCGUAUAGCAAUGUUAGCAAUAACUUGCUGAACGGAACAAAGAGAUGCUUGAUUGGUACC
This 829-nucleotide ribosomal RNA is filed under the name Proiectus sp. NJAUAcariEriGX1.2. Its description in RNAcentral is "partial 28S ribosomal RNA". It matches the Rfam family "Eukaryotic large subunit ribosomal RNA", at positions 366 to 816 of the family's 3401-position model. The record is from RNAcentral. Lineage: Eukaryota; Metazoa; Arthropoda; Arachnida; Trombidiformes; Eriophyidae.